Molecule: non-coding RNA, 24 nt
Filed under: Arabidopsis thaliana (thale cress)
Lineage: Eukaryota; Viridiplantae; Streptophyta; Magnoliopsida; Brassicales; Brassicaceae
Source: RNAcentral
AAGAAAUCCUUCUGAAGCCUCCGA